This 747-nucleotide long non-coding RNA is filed under the name Astyanax mexicanus (Mexican tetra). Its description in RNAcentral is "lncRNA (ENSAMXG00005003514.1)". Lineage: Eukaryota; Metazoa; Chordata; Actinopteri; Characiformes; Acestrorhamphidae. The record is from RNAcentral.
AAUCAGCUGAUAUCUGCGCCCAAAAGGCCGAUUUUUUAAUGAAUGUCUCAGACUCCGCUCUGGGCAGCACUGUAUGCUGUUCUGUAGUAGAGUCGUUAGAGCUCCCCCUAGUGUCCAUUCCACCAUCCUACUGACACACAGCAGAUGAGCUGAGGAGCUCAGUUCCCCAGAACCUGCAGAGCUUCAGAUAGAGCUGCGGAGAACAGCUUCACUUCAGCCUCAACUGGAUCCAAACUGGACAGAUGACAAAGGUGGAUAUCAAGGUGUACUUUUCAGAGGAUGCUGUGGCACCCUCUGACUGGACUAUUUACACUGGAAAGAACUACUUUCCCACAGGCUGUGAAGAGCAAACAGAGGUUUAACAUUCAUGGCCAGUCGAUACGAGUCCUCUUGAGGGGUCAGUGGGUCCACUGCACAGGGAAACAGAAGGAACUGGUCAGUGUGGAGGAGUCUUAGAGAAGAAUGGAACAGAAUGAAACAGAAGUCAUGUGUCCUGGAAUCCCCUUUUGAACAGAUGACCAGUUCUCCCUUUAGAAUUGAUUUCGUAGAUGAUUUUGCUCUUUUCUCUUUUUGGCUUUCUGAUCAUUACUAGUUGAUUGUCUUCCCAGGAACAUGCUGGGCCAUAACACAAUGUUUAUUACUGUGGCAAAUACUGGUAUUUGUGACCCUUAUUGUAUUAGUGGAACAUGACCAGAGUUUAGAACCUAAUAUAAUAAACAGUCUUUAAUCUAAGUACCUACCUAACUA